RNAcentral lists this ribosomal RNA (478 nucleotides) under uncultured bacterium. RNAcentral describes it as "partial 16S ribosomal RNA". It matches the Rfam family "Bacterial small subunit ribosomal RNA", at positions 28 to 523 of the family's 1533-position model. The record is from RNAcentral.
GACGAACGCUGGCGGCGUGCCUAACACAUGCAAGUCGAGCGAGUAGAUCCCUUCGGGGUGAAGCUAGCGGCGGACGGGUGAGUAACACGUGGGCAACCUGCCUCAUAGAGGGGAAUAGCCUUCCGAAAGGAAGAUUAAUACCGCAUAAGAUUGUAGCUUUGCAUGAAGUAGCAAUUAAAGGAGCAAUCCGCUAUGAGAUGGGCCCGCGGCGCAUUAGCUAGUUGGUGAGGUAACGGCUCACCAAGGCGACGAUGCGUAGCCGACCUGAGAGGGUGAUCGGCCACAUUGGGACUGAGACACGGCCCAGACUCCUACGGGAGGCAGCAGUGGGGAAUAUUGCACAAUGGGGGAAACCCUGAUGCAGCAACGCCGCGUGAGUGAUGACGGCCUUCGGGUUGUAAAGCUCUGUCUUCGGGGACGAUAAUGACGGUACCCGAGGAGGAAGCCACGGCUAACUACGUGCCAGCAGCCGCCGCCG